GGUUGUGGCUCAGUGAUAGAGCGCUUGCCUAGCAUGUUCCAGGCCCUGGGUUCAAUCCUCAGCACCA
This 67-nucleotide transfer RNA is filed under the name Marmota monax (woodchuck). RNAcentral describes it as "tRNA.Ala". The record is from RNAcentral. Lineage: Eukaryota; Metazoa; Chordata; Mammalia; Rodentia; Sciuridae.